Long non-coding RNA from Vicia villosa (hairy vetch), 559 nucleotides. RefSeq lists it as uncharacterized. The record is from RefSeq and is a predicted model, not a curated record. NCBI's taxonomy places the organism in Eukaryota, Viridiplantae, Streptophyta, Magnoliopsida, Fabales, Fabaceae. The transcript has 3 exons.
GAAACUUUUCUAAACCCAAUUUUCAACAAAACUCUUAUCAGGUUUAUUCUUCUCAAAUCUUCCAUUCUCCUUCUCAAACACUGAAACCCUAACCUUCUCUGAAACAAAGUCUUCCCAAAUAUUCCCUUAAUCAAAAUCCCAAAUCUUCCCUUGAAAGGAAAACCCUGAAACAAAAACUUCCCUUGAAUUCUCAACGGCAUGGCAAAGAAGGAGAAGUCGAAAGCCAAUCAACAGGGUACGAACAAGUCAACGAAACAAGCGAAAAUCUCGAGGGUGCUUCCCCGCCAUCACUCAUGUAAAAUUCCGAAGAAGAAAAGUUCCUCGCUUUCUGCUUCACUGCCAAGAUGAACGGAGGUGCAUCUGGUUUCACAAAUGCUCCUGUUACAAGGGCUUUCAUCAUCGCUUCAGCGCUUUUCUCAAUCUUCUUUGGGAUCCAAGGUCGUUUCAACACUUUGGGCUUGUCGUAUCAGAUGCGGAGGAUCAAGCCGCAAAAAUUUCUGCAGAAGAGCAAGUGCAGAUGACGAACAUCCACACUUUGGAAAGCGACAUCAAUAUCAUA